This 459-nucleotide ribosomal RNA is filed under the name uncultured bacterium. Its description in RNAcentral is "bacterial SSU rRNA". It matches the Rfam family "Bacterial small subunit ribosomal RNA", at positions 340 to 786 of the family's 1533-position model. The record is from RNAcentral.
UACGGAAGGCAGCAGUGGGGAAUAUUGCACAAUGGGCGAAAGCCUGAUGCAGCUAUGCCGCGUGUAUGAAGAAGGCCUUAGGGUUGUAAAGUACUUUCAGUCGGGGAAGGAAAAAACAAAACUAAUAAUUUUAUUUCUUGACGUUAACCCGAAAAAGAAGCACCGGCUAACUCCGUGCCAGCAGCCGCGGUAAUACGGAGGGUGCUAGCGUUAAUCAGAAUUACUGGGCGUAAAGAGCACGUAGGUUGGUUUUUUAAGUCAGAUGUGAAAUCCCUGGGCUUAACCUAGGAACUGCAUUUUGAAACUGAAAUACUAGAGUAUCGUAGAGGGAGGUAGAAUUCUAGGUGUAGCGGUGAAAUGCGUAGAUAUCUGGAGGAAUACCUGUGGCGAAAGCGGCCUCCUAAACGAAUACUGACACUGAGGUGCGAAAGCGUGGGGAGCAAACAGGGAUUAGAUACC